CUUUGAACCGAUCCUUUCCCGAAAGAAGGCGUUCCGACUAACACUGCCCGUUUAUGAUCUUGUAAAGCACCGGCGACAAUUUCCGAGGCCGACGCCGAUCCUUCGUUAAUGAUGACAACGACCGGCAACCCGUUUGUUAAAUCGCCUUUGGUCGCCGACAACCGCAUCGUUUCUUCGGCAAUGCGAGAACGUGUCGAAACAAUUUCCCCUUCAUCCAGGAAUGUAUCCGUUACGCCGACGGCUUGUUCCAACAGUCCGCCCGGAUUGUUGCGCA
RNAcentral lists this non-coding RNA (274 nucleotides) under chicken gut metagenome. The record is from RNAcentral.